Molecule: non-coding RNA, 47 nt
Filed under: Saccharopolyspora spinosa NRRL 18395
Lineage: Bacteria; Bacillati; Actinomycetota; Actinomycetes; Pseudonocardiales; Pseudonocardiaceae
Description: L31-Actinobacteria ribosomal protein leader
Rfam family: L31-Actinobacteria ribosomal protein leader
Source: RNAcentral
CCGGCACCGGUUCACCGCGCGGCAGCGGCCGCGUGGACCCGGCGGCC